GCUCAAGCAGACAAGAGGAGCUUCAUCCACAGAGCCAUUUGAGGAGCCGUCUACUUGAGAAACCCUCCUUGUUGCUAGAGAAGCAUCCUUCCCAUCCGGCAGAGGCAAGGCUGGUGGCUGAUCCUGGAGAGUCACCCCUUGGGGCCGCUAACUAAACCUAAGCACACACUCCCCCACACCAACAUUGCAGCCAGGAGGUGCAGCUGCACAGAAGGACAAUCACUGAGUUUUGCAACCUUCAAAACUGAUUUCAAACCUCUGAAUGGGUCAAUGCUCAUAAGGUGGAUAUCUGAGAACAGCAAUAUGAAGCCAAGAAGUAGUGGGAUAAUCUAACAGAUGAGUAUAUUCAAGUUGUGCUUUCAAUGUCAAGACUAAAAGCAUGAUUUCUGAAGAGAAGGACAUUUCAGCAUUCUUCUUGGAAACAGCUGUUCCUGAGCUGGAGACCUUUGCAGCGCUCUGUGGCUGGAAUGCUGAGGGUUCUGGAGACUGGGCAGGGUCCCUUUGACCUCACCGUAGAGUGGCUAUGCACCCUGGACUCUUACCUCUGAUCUAACUAUUGUCUGCAUCAUGCCUGGUCUUUUCCAAAGAUGCUGUAGAAUUGUAUAUAAGCGUUCAAAACCAGCUCCAUUUUUCUGGUCUAACUGAAUCGGGCUGUUUAACAAGGAAAUGACAUUUACUGGUGCUGCCCCCUUUGUAGUUUAAUUCAUUCCAACUGCCCCAUCUUGUGGAAGAAAGAAAAACAACCAGACUUUUUCCUUUGAGUGUAUACCCCAGAAGAACAAAUUCAGCCCACCUGUCUCUGCUCGCUCUCUAUCUUUGACUCUGAUUGCUUCUCUUUCAUGUAUUACAUUUGAAAUAAAUUAUU
Long non-coding RNA from Choloepus didactylus (southern two-toed sloth), 865 nucleotides. RefSeq lists it as uncharacterized. The record is from RefSeq and is a predicted model, not a curated record. Lineage: Eukaryota; Metazoa; Chordata; Mammalia; Pilosa; Megalonychidae. The transcript is spliced from 4 exons.